Molecule: ribosomal RNA, 403 nt
Filed under: Verrucomicrobiota bacterium
Lineage: Bacteria; Pseudomonadati; Verrucomicrobiota
Description: Verrucomicrobia bacterium partial 16S ribosomal RNA
Rfam family: Bacterial small subunit ribosomal RNA
Source: RNAcentral
UGGGGAAUAUUGCACAAUGGGCGCAAGCCUGAUGCAGCAACGCCGCGUGAACGAUGAAGGUCUGCGGAUCGUAAAGUUCUGUUGCAGGGGAAGAUAAUGACGGUACCCUGUGAGGAAGCCCCGGCUAACUACGUGCCAGCAGCCGCGGUAAUACGUAGGGGGCUAGCGUUAUCCGGAUUUACUGGGCGUAAAGGGUGCGUAGGUGGUCUUUCAAGUCGGUGGUUAAAGGCUACGGCUCAACCGUAGUAAGCCGCCGAAACUGGAGGACUUGAGUGCAGGAGAGGAAAGUGGAAUUCCCAGUGUAGCGGUGAAAUGCGUAGAUAUUGGGAGGAACACCAGUAGCGAAGGCGGCUUUCUGGACUGCAACUGACACUGAGGCACGAAAGCGUGGGUAGCAAACAGG